CAGCAGCCGCGGGAAUACGAAGGGGGCUAGCGUUGUUCGGAAUUACUGGGCGUAAAGCGCACGUAGGCGGCUUGGUAAGUUAGAGGUGAAAGCCUGGAGCUCAACUCCAGAAUUGCCUUUAAGACUGCCGAGCUAGUAGGUGAGAGAGGUAAGUGGAAUUCCGAGUGUAGAGGUGAGAUUCGUAGAUAUUCGGAAGAACACCAGUGGCGAAGGCGGCUUACUGGCUCAUUCUAGACGCUGAGGUGCGAAAGCGUGGGGAGCAAACAGGAUUAGAUACCCCCGUAGUCCCUGUCUCUUAUAC
This 301-nucleotide ribosomal RNA is filed under the name uncultured bacterium. RNAcentral describes it as "partial 16S ribosomal RNA". It matches the Rfam family "Bacterial small subunit ribosomal RNA", at positions 509 to 807 of the family's 1533-position model. The record is from RNAcentral.